This 26-nucleotide non-coding RNA is filed under the name Homo sapiens (human). The record is from RNAcentral. Lineage: Eukaryota; Metazoa; Chordata; Mammalia; Primates; Hominidae.
UGGGAAGGCCGCCACCCCGUCUGGGA